This 77-nucleotide transfer RNA is filed under the name Desulfobacterales bacterium. RNAcentral's name for it is "tRNA-Thr". It matches the Rfam family "tRNA". From Rfam's summary of the family: Transfer RNA (tRNA) molecules are approximately 80 nucleotides in length. Their secondary structure includes four short double-helical elements and three loops (D, anti-codon, and T loops). The record is from RNAcentral. Lineage: Bacteria; Pseudomonadati; Thermodesulfobacteriota; Desulfobacteria; Desulfobacterales.
GCCCACGUAGCUCAGAUGGUAGAGCUCUUCCUUGGUAAGGAAGAGGUUCACCGGUUCGAUUCCGGUCGUGGGCUCCA